RNAcentral lists this ribosomal RNA (199 nucleotides) under uncultured bacterium. Its description in RNAcentral is "partial 16S ribosomal RNA". It matches the Rfam family "Bacterial small subunit ribosomal RNA", at positions 336 to 526 of the family's 1533-position model. The record is from RNAcentral.
CUCCUACGGGGGGCAGGCAGUGGGGAAUCGUUGCGCAAUGGCCGAAAGGCUAGACGCAGCGACGCCGCGUGUGGGAGGACGGCCCUUCGGGGUGUAAACCGACUAGUUGCCCGGGACGAACCGAUCUUCUUUCGAGUAGGACUGACGGUACCGGGUGAGGAAGCACCGGCUAACUCCGUGCCAGCAGCCGCGGUAAUUC